Molecule: ribosomal RNA, 621 nt
Filed under: Choleva kocheri
Lineage: Eukaryota; Metazoa; Arthropoda; Insecta; Coleoptera; Leiodidae
Description: partial 16S ribosomal RNA
Rfam family: Bacterial large subunit ribosomal RNA
Source: RNAcentral
GUCCUAUUGAUUAUAAUUUUAGGUCUAAUCUGCCCAAUGAAAUUUUAAAUGGCUGCAGUAUUUUAACUGUACAAAGGUAGCAUAAUAAUUAGUCUUUUAAUUAAGGACUGGAAUGAAUGAUUGAACGAGAUAAUAACUGUCUCUAUUUAAAUUAUAGAAUUUUAUUUUUAAGUUAAAAAGCUUAAAUAAAUUUAAAAGACGAGAAGACCCUAUAGAGUUUUAUAUUUUUUAAUAAUUUAUUUUUUAGAUAAUAAAUUAAUAGAUUUUUUAAUGAUUAUUUGAUUGGGGUGAUUGAAAAAUUUAAUUAACUUUUUUUUAUUUAUUACACUAAUUAGUGGUUAAUUGAUCCAAUUUUUAUUGAUUAUAAGAUUAAAUUACCUUAGGGAUAACAGCGUAAUUUUUUUAGAGAGUUCAUAUCGAAAAAAAAGAUUGCGACCUCGAUGUUGGAUUAAAAUUAAUUUUUGGCGUAGAAGUUAAAAAAUUAGGUCUGUUCGACCUUUAAAAUUUUACAUGAUCUGAGUUUAAAUCGGCGUGAGCCAGGUUGGUUUCUAUCUUUAAAAAAAUAAAAUAUUUUAGUACGAAAGGACCAAAUAUUUAUAAAGUUUAUUUUUUUAUGAAUUA